RNAcentral lists this ribosomal RNA (414 nucleotides) under uncultured microorganism. RNAcentral's name for it is "bacterial SSU rRNA". It matches the Rfam family "Archaeal small subunit ribosomal RNA", at positions 459 to 872 of the family's 1478-position model. The record is from RNAcentral.
CAGCCGCCGCGGUAAUACGGAGGGCGCGAGCGUUGUCCGGAUUCACUGGGCUUAAAGCGUCCGUAGCCGGGUUGGGAAGUCCUCCGGGAAAUCUGGCCGCUUAACGGUCAGAAUGCCGGAGGAUACUCCCAGCCUAGGGAGCGGGAGAGGCCGAGGGUAUUCCCGGAGUAGGGGUGAAAUCCUAUAAUCCCGGGAGGACCACCUGUGGCGAAGGCGCUCGGCUGGAACGCGUCCGACGGUGAGGGACGAAGGCCAGGGGAGCAAACCGGAUUAGAUACCCGGGUAGUCCUGGCUGUAAACGAUGCGGACUUUGUGUCGGACAAGCUAUGAGCUUGUCCGGUGCCGGAGGGAAACCGUUAAGUCCGCCGCCUGGGGAGUACGGCCGCAAGGCUGAAACUUAAAGGAAUUGGCGGG